Molecule: ribosomal RNA, 1250 nt
Filed under: metagenome
Description: bacterial LSU rRNA
Rfam family: Bacterial large subunit ribosomal RNA
Source: RNAcentral
AGGUGGGGUGGUAGAGAAUACCGAGGGGCGCGAGGUAACUCUCUCUAAGGAACUCGGCAAAAUGGCCCCGUAACUUCGGGAGAAGGGGUGCCACCGCAAGGUGGUCGCAGUGAAGAGGCCCAGGCGACUGUUUACCAAAAACACAGGUCUCCGCUAAGUCGCAAGACGAUGUAUGGGGGCUGACGCCUGCCCAGUGCCGGAAGGUUAAGGAAGCUGGUCAGUGCAAGCGAAGCUGGCGACUGAAGCCCCGGUGAACGGCGGCCGUAACUAUAACGGUCCUAAGGUAGCGAAAUUCCUUGUCGGGUAAGUUCCGACCCGCACGAAAGGCGUAACGAUCUGGGCGCUGUCUCGGAGAGAGGCUCGGCGAAAUAGAAUUGUCUGUGAAGAUGCGGACUACGUGCACCCGGACAGAAAGACCCUAUGAAGCUUUACUGUAGCUUGGUAUUGUGCCCGGGCUCUGAAUGCGCAGGAUAGGUGGGAGGCUUUGAUCCAUUGCUUGUGGGUGAUGGUGAGCCAACGGUGAGAUACCACUCUUUCAGAGCUAGGGUUCUAACGGUCACCCGUUAUCCGGGGACCGGACAGUAUCAGGUGGGCAGUUUGACUGGGGCGGUCGCCUCCUAAAAGGUAACGGAGGCGCGCAAAGGUUCCCUCAGGCUGGUUGGAAAUCAGCCGAUGAGUGUAAAGGCAGAAGGGAGCUUGACUGUGAGACCUACAAGUCGAACAGGGACGAAAGUCGGCCUUAGUGAUCCGACGGUUCUGAGUGGAAGGGCCGUCGUUCAACGGAUAAAAGUUACUCUAGGAUAACAGGCUGAUCUCCCCCAAGAGUUCACAUCGACGGGGAGGUUUGGCACCUCGAUGUCGGCUCAUCGCAACCUGGGGCUGAAGUCGGUCCCAAGGGUUGGGCUGUUCGCCCAUUAAAGCGGUACGCGAGCUGGGUUCAGAACGUCGUGAGACAGUUUGGUCCAUAUCCGGUGCAUGCGCAGGAAUAUUGAGAGGAUUUCUCCCUAGUACGAGAGGACCGGGAGGAACGCACCUCUGGUGUACCAGUUAUCGUGCCAACGGUAAACGCUGGGUAGCCAUGUGCGGAGUGGAUAACCGCUGAAAGCAUCUAAGUGGGAAGCCCACCUCAAGAUGAGUAUUCCCAUGGCGUUAGCCAGUAAGGUCACGGGCAGAACACCCGUUGAUAGGCUCUACGUGGAAGCCGGGUAACCGGUGAAGCGGAGGAGUACUAAUAGACCGAGGGCUUGACC